Molecule: long non-coding RNA, 13617 nt
Filed under: Homo sapiens (human)
Lineage: Eukaryota; Metazoa; Chordata; Mammalia; Primates; Hominidae
Description: HSALNT0024223
Source: RNAcentral
GGAGUGUAAUCCAAAGUGAAAGGGCAAGGGAGGUCUAGCUAGAGGGAGGGUGGCAGGGGAUCGGGGCCUGGUGUGGAAGUCAUGCGUUGCACUCAUGUGUGCAUGGACCCCAGCAGGGUAAGUGUGAGGCCACAGGCGGGACCCCAUGUGCCAUGCUUAGGGGUUCAGACAUUGUCCUGGAGAUGAUGAAGGACCCCUGAGAGUUUUAAGCAGAGUUGGGUGUGAAGAUGGAUCUGAGAGGCCAAGACCGAGCAGGGAGACAAGUCAUGAUGGUCCUGAUCCGAGACGGUGUGGGAGGUGGGAACUGACUUUAAGAUGGUGGAAAUGCAAAGCCAGGUGAUGUUUCUGGGACAGGAUUGACCAAAUCUAGUGACCUACUAGAUAUAGGGAGAAAAAAUAAGGAAAGCAUAGGGGAUCACACUGAGGGUUUGCAUUUGAGAGACUAGAGUCAGGAGGCAAGGCAGGAUGGGGGUGGAGAAGGGGAAUGAUGGGGCUGAAAUUAGACCACAGUGGUGGUGGGAAUGUGGACACUGAGGGAAGAGGAGGCAGUGAGCACACGAGUCUUUCAUGAUGUUUGGUGAUGAAGAGAAGGAGGGAUGUUCUGUAGCUUUAAAGGAUUUUUCAAAAGUAGGAGAAAGAACCUGUUUGUAAGUAGAGGGAAGAUACGGUAGAGAGGGAGAGAUCAUAGGGUGUAGAGAACUGCCAUUUGCUGAGUGGGUGCCGCUUGCAGGCCCGGAGCCAUGCCCUUAACAUGCAUAUCUCAUUUCAGCAGCAUGCCAACCCAUGGGGUAGCUCUACUUAUACCCAUUUUCUGAAUGAAGAAACUGAGGCAGACCGAUGGAUUCACCCAGGGAUGGGACUUGCUGAGCAGUUGAAGCAAAAGAAUAGAGUGACUGGGAAGGGAAGAAAAUGAAGUCAAACGAAAGCUAAUAGAAUGGGGUGGCGGAGUGCGGGGCUUAACGGGCUGAGGGGUGUCUAUAUUCCAGACGUGGGAUUUGGAGUUGUUCUGGCUAAUGUCAAAGACCACACACAAGGACAUGGACGUCAACGGUUCAUUCACAUGAGAUGACAGUUACCCAGGAUGAACCAACUGCAAAAAGCUGUCUGUGGAUGGUAACUGCAGGUGACCUGAAUGCAUGUGCCUCCUCCUUCUUUUUCCGCUUUUUGUCUUUUCCUUAAGCCUCUCUGAACAGUAUCUUCAGAAGUGUCUGUUUCCCACAGAGCAUGGUGUGUCCAAGAAAUACCCCACAUUCCCAUUGCCUUUGCUAUUUAAUGCUGUAGUUGGGAGAGGCAGUCUUGCUUUCUGCUUGCCUGUCUUUUUGGAGCACAUAUGAACUACAAAUAGAUACAGCCCACAUUUUGCCUCAAAGAUAUAUUCUUUGUUUUCUCCAAGUUGCCAAGUUGAACUCUAAGCUGAUGUUUAAUUUAUCUGUGGUAAUGAGGAACGGGGAUAGCCUUGCAUAAUUGGAAUCUGAAGAUAAGCCAAAAGCUUCUUUUAGCCAAAAUUCCUACAUCCUUUCCCACCAACUCUUUAUGCCUGUGUUGCUAACAAAUGGCAAAUUGACUAAUCUGAGUUUCACCAGUUCUUUGUGUGGUGUAUCUGACCUUUCACAAUGGGUUCAUACCAGAGUCCACUUCCAUGGUCCUUCAAGAUGUGGGUGUCUGGUUCUCAGGUAACCAACCAAAACCUUUGUACCUACCACUCAUGUAUAUUUCAGUUGAAGUUAGAAAAGCACCCCCUCAGUCUAUAGCUAACCUCUGGUGAAAUUGAGGAAUGAAUGAAUUGCUAAGCCAUCUAUAAAUAGAAUUCCGGGACAAUUCAUCUGAUGUGAGAGACAACCCUUUGAUAGGUUUCUGAGAAGAUGUGUGAAGCCACUACUCUCAAUUGUUCUUUCAUUUACUUUUUGCUAAUCAAAGCCCCAGACAUAUUCCAAAAUGUGAGAUGUUUUGGAAGAUUAACCAAAACACAAGCUGAAAUUUACCAGGGGCUCUGUAUAAAGUUAUACCCUUAGGCUUUUAUUCUCAAAGCCCUCCCAAGUACAGAAGUGUAGCAUGGGAUGAUGUGACAUAGAAUCGCAGAGUGGGAGGAGCCCACCAUACUUCAAUUCAGUGUAUCCAGAAGGAAAACUAAGGUUCACAGACUUGCUUAGGGGCUUAGUCAAGGGACUAUUUGUUCAGAACCAACAUUCAUACAAAGAGUCUUAAAUUUAAAAGGGGAUUUAUUUCAGAGAAACCUCAUGGAAACCAGUUGAAAGAGGGUUAGUGGGGACUUUCGGGAAGUGAAAAGUCGCUGGUUAAUUUCUCUGUUUCUAUCUCUGUGGGGCCUUGCAGAUUCUUUUCUUUGCUUCCGGGAGCCUUCUUCAUAUCUGCAGUGGAUAUGAGGUGAUAUGGUUUGGCUCUGUUCCCCACCCAAAUCUCAUCUCGAAUUGUAAUCCUACGAUCGCCACGUGUCAAGGGCAGAAACUGGUAGGAGGUGAUUGGAUCGUGGGGGCAGUGUGCUGUUCUCGUGAUAGUGAGUGAGUUCUCACGAGAUCUGAUGAUUUUAUAAAGGGCUCUUCCCCUUUCGCCAUUCACUCUGUCCUGCUGCCUUGUGAAGAAGGUGUCUGCUUCCUCUUCACCUUCUGCCAUGAUUGUCAGUUUCCUGAGGCCUUCCCAGCCAUGCUGAACUGUGAGUCAAUGAAACCUCUUUCCUUUAUAAAUUACCCAGUCUCGGGUAUUUCUUUAGAGCAGUGUGAGAAUGGACUAACACGAGGCUUCGCUGGUCUCUCAUGACCAACCCAAAAGGCAAGGUCAGCUUCCAUGUCUCAAUGGCCUUCCAGUGAGGCCCCUCACAGCUAACUGACCAGGGCAGGGGUCUCCUUGGUCCAGCUGAGAUCAGGGCCUGGCUCCGGCCCAUGCCUGUGGUAAGAGUGGGACUAUCCCUUGUGGAGCUGACAAGGGCUGACUCUCUGUAAGGGUGGCUAAGGCACUACUGGCCACUCUGGUGCCCCAGGAUGGCACAGGCAGGUCAGAACCUGGCUGUCACUCCAGGCCAGCCUUCUGCCACUGACUGGAAAGGUGGGCUCAAACACAACUGCAGUUAAAAGAGAGGAAUUGCCCCGGAGGUGAAUGCAGUCACCUGCAUAGGGGAAAAGGAGGUGAGAGGCCUGCUCUACUCCCCCUGAUCAGAUGCCAUCCAAGGGCACAUGGCUGACAUGUUUGAAGAAAAACCCAGAGUCAACUCAGAGCCCAACUCAGGCCUGAUAAAAAGUGACUAUGAUGAUGAAGAGAUUCAAAAUUAUGCUGCAGAAGGAAUGGCUGGAGGGUCUAGGCGUAUUUCACCUGGAAAGAGGAAGCUUUAAAGGAGAUGUGAGUCUUUUGUCCAAAUGUGUAGACUGACUAAAUUCUUUAAAGAGUUUUAUGUUUGUGUAUAUCUGAAGGGUCCAGAACUAGCAUCAAAGGGUAGAAUUUAGAGGGAGGAAGACUUUGGAUUAAAAUUAGGGGCCACAUACUUUCUGUGAGGGUAUCUUGAUAUUGGCUGCCCUGUCACAUUUAAGAAAGGAUGGGAUGAUCAUUCGUAAGAGAAGCUGUAGAGCUGAUCCACAAACUAAGGGAGUUCUGAAGUCUAUUCUAGUUUGGAAUUCUAUGGCUCUGCUGCAGGUGCAUCUGGUUGGCUGGAUUGAUUGCUAUCACAGGGGCAGAGGCCACUGUGUAUGAUCACUUAGGUCAGUGAAAUCAGUAGAGGCCAAGCGGCUGCACCACUGGAGGACAGCAGGUUGCCCUGAUCCUGAAUCCCUUCAACACUGGGCCUUCUCACAUCUGUUUGAGACAAGCCACUUUCAGCUGAGAUGCACUAGAUCCUUCAAGCCUCUCUACCACCCACAGGGUCACCAUCUGCUGGAGCGGCCAGUGGGGCUGCAGGUUACCCAUCAAAGCCCAAGCUAUGAAAUUGUCAUUGAGAGGAGUGCUUUAGACAUAGAGCUCAUUUGGUGGCAGAGAUCAGAAGCUUGUUCAAAGCAGCCUGGAAUUUUUAAAAGAAUAAGGGAAACAUGUAAAGGCAGCUUGCAGUCUAUCUGAGAAAACAAGACAUACCCUCAAGCAGAUAAUUGCCAUUUACAGUCAUUCCUAUGAUCUCAGCACUAUGUGGGUUUAAUCAGCCUUCUGCUAAAAGGAACCAGGUCCAAGACAUUCAGCAUGGCAUGGUAGCUAAGCAAGAUCCAGUGUCUUCAUUCAGCACUGACAGAGUCACUGUCUCUGAGCAGUACUUAGCUACAGAAACUUUGAAGCCUUCUGCAAUUUAUUAUGCUGAGUGCAUCUAAUCAACAUGUAGAAUAAAGAUGGAGCUCCAGAGAAGUUAGCACGCAAUCUGGGUGACAGGUGCUGAGCAAGGACAGCCUCUUCCCAAUACUCUCCAAGCGGCCUGCUGUUUCCAGGGAAUGAUAUUAUCAUUCUUGGCAUCUAGAACAGGACUCAAUGUAAGAUUGUCUAAGGCAGUCACUGGCUACAGUUCAUGGAAGCUUCAGGACGGCACUUGGCAUGAGCUCUCAGUGCUAUGGAAAAAAGAAGCUCUUAGGUGGAAUAUUUCUAGCUAAAAAAUGUAUAGUUUUUUUUGUUGUUGUUUCUGUUCCUUUCAUUUUUAUUUUUAGAAAUAGGAUUUCAAAGGGCAUUUGUCCUGGUCCCUCAGGAAAGAACAUUUUCUAAAGUGUUCCCAUCAACAAUGCCUCAGGUGUUACAGGUCCCUACUCUUGGCCAUCCAGCUCUGCCACCGUGCCUGGAUUCUGCAUUUUCAAAGGGACCAGCUUACCAGCAGCAUCCUCUUCCUGCUGCCUCUUGACUCACACAGAUCCCAUCAAUAAGCAUUCACUGAGGCCUGCUCUAAGUGAGGCUCUGGGGAGAGUGCUGUGGGAGCUUCAAGAGCAAUAGCAGCCCUGAGCUCCAGGAGCUUCCCCUCUGAGGUGGGGAAUUGCGAUGCAUGGAACAUCUCCAACACACAAAGCAGACUCUUGCUAGGCUUCGAACUGGAAUUGCAUUGAUCGUAUUAACUUGGGGGAGAUCUGAUAUAUUUAAAAGAAAAAAAUAAGCCGGGCAUGGCGGCUCACGUCUGUAAUCCCAGCACUUGGGGAGACUGAGGUAGGUGGAUCAUUUGAGGUCAGGAGUUUGAGACCAGCCUGGCCAACAUGGUGAGACCCCGUCUCUACUAAAAAUACAAAAAUUAGCCGGGCGUGGUGGGUGCCUGUAAGCCCAGCUACGUGGGAGGCUGAGGCAGGAGAAUCGCUUGAACUUGAGAGAUGGAGGCUGCAGUGAGCUGAGAUCAUGCCACUGCACUUCAGCCUGGGUGACAGAGUGAGACUCUGUCUCAAAAAAGAAAAAAAAAAAAAAAGAAAAAAAUAUAGGCGAUGGAACAGAAAAGUGGGCAGUGGCUAUGAAGAUGCAAUCCAAAUAUAAGGUAAUACUUAUCACCAAAGAAAUAGCAAUUAAGACAACAGUGAGACAGCAUCUUGUGUCUGUCAGAUUGGAGGAAAAAUACUAAAUUGAAUAAUGUGAAUUGUUGUUGAGGAUUGUGGAACUAGCCUUCCAUGAAACGUUUCUAGAAGUCUAAAUGAGUGUAGACACUCCAGAGAGCAAUCUGGCGGUAUUUAGCAAUCCCAUACCUGGGCAUAUAACUUGGACAAACUCUGAUUAUAACAGACUAGGCCCAAGGAUAUGUUUAUUGCAGUAUUAUUGGUGGUAGUGAUGAGUUGGAGGCAAUAUAAGUUUCUACCACAAGGAGGGUUGAUAUGAGCGUUUGAUGAAUAGUAUGCAGUAGUCAGAAUAAUAAAACAGAUGUACACUCAGCAUGGAGAAAUCUGAAUAAGAUACUGUUGGCUGAUGACAGUAAGACAUGGAUUGAGAUAUAUAGUAGAGUGUCAUUUAUAUAAAUUCAAAACACGUGCACAAGAUGAUCAUGUCUCUAGUAGCUACAAAAGUGCUUGAUACAGAGUAGGCCUUCAGUAAAUUGUUUUACUUGUUGUCAAUAAAAAUAUAUAUACUAAAUAAAUAUCUAACAUUUAUGUAAGUUAAGAAUACAUAGACAUAUACAUAUUUUAAGGGUAUAUACAAAUGCGAAACAUAAUUUAAGGGUACGGCUCUUCUGGAUAGUCCAGCGUUCAAAUGGAGUUCUCUGGAGUGAAGUAAAAUUAAUUCACAAACCUCUGUUGCAUCCAAGGUCAAAUACUCUCACGAACACCCACUCUCUGUUCCCUGGUUUAAUACUCACUGAGUAACAUUCUGAAGCCUGAGACUUUUAUACAUACCCAGUUUCCAGAAAAGGCACAAAGAAGCUUUCCCCAAAAGAAAAUACAUGAAUAUUCCAUUUAUUUAAAAACAUCCGAGCAGGUCUAAGCAAUAUAAAUUAAUAUAGCAGCAUCAGUGUCUUGUGAGUUAAGACGAGUGUCCUAAGAUUUAGUUGCUUAACUGAUUCCUCUAUGUCCCUAAAUCAAAUGAUGAAAUACAGAUUUAGGUUCCAUUUUUUUGAAAGAAUACUUCAUAGGUCAUUCUGUCUACUUCCUACUGCACCACAUUUAGGAGGGAGGCACAUCAUGUGUGGUUGUCUCUUUAGUAAUUCUGAGAUUGGUCAAGGGGUCCAGGUGGUGUCUGACCUUAUUCCAUCAUUACAAAAGAAGUCACCAUCUACUUUUUACCUAGUGGUUUCAGUAUCUUUGGAUAAUCACUGCCCGGAUUUAUCAAGGUUUGCAAAAUGAUUUUCUAAUUCUGUGGUUCCUUCUAUACACAUUAGCUGGGAUUCUUCAAAAUGUAACUUACAAAACAAACAAAAUCACUAUCAAGACUUGACAUUCCUUCUUCCAUAUCAAUUUUCAGAAUAGUGAUAAAAGUUACCAGUAAUGAUUUCUAGUGGAGACCAAUAUGUUUUUCUCAUCAUUAUAUACUUUUUUUUUUUUUUGAGACAGAGUCUUGCUCUGUCACCAGGCUAGAGUGCAGUGGUGUGAUCUCUGCUCACUGCAACUUCCGCAUCCUGGGUUCAAGCAAUUCUCCUGCCUCAGCCUCCCAAGUAGCUGGGACUACAGGUGCACACCACCACGCCCAGCUGAUUUUUGUAGUUUUAGUAGAGACAGGGUUUCACCAUAUUGGCCAGGAUGGUCUCGAUCUCUUGACCUCGUGACCUGCCCACCUCAGCCUCCCAAAGUGCUGGGAUUACAGGCAUGAGCCACUGCGCCCAGCCCAUAAAUUUUUAUAUAUUUGAUGAGGUUGAAUUAAUUGCCAUCAUUAUUCUCUUUUCUCUCUCUCUUUAGGAUCCUUAAACAGCUUAUAUUCAAUAAACUGCAUAUGUUUAAAUGGCACACUUUGUAAAGUUUGGUGAUACUGUACAGUCACAAAAGCAUAAUCAAUGUAGCAAACAUAUCUAUUGUAAUCUAAAAUGUCCUUGUGCCUUUUUUAACCUCCUGCUCCUCCUCCAUACUAUAUCCCCAGGCGACCUCUGAUUUACUUUAUGUUGGAAUUUUUGAGAAAUUCAUACAAAUGGCAUUAUUUAGUAUGUACUCUUUGUGUCUGACUGCUUUUACUCAGCAUAAUUAUUUUGAGAUUCAACAUGUUGUCUGUAUCAAUACCUUUAAUUGUCAAGUGGUAUGCUAUUGUAUGACUAUGUCACAAUUGUUUAGCCAUCGAUGAACAUUUGGGUCGUUUCCAGUUUGGGGUUACUACAAAUAAAGCUGCUAAGAACAUUUUUAUAUAAAUCUUUGUGCAGACAUAGAUUUUAUUUCUAUGGGAUAAAUACCUACUAGUGGAAAGGCUACAUCAGAUAGUAGGGUAUAUACUUAACUUUUCAAAAAAAACUGCAAAUGUGCUUUCCAUAGAAGUGCUAUUGCACAUUUCUCCUGAGCAUGAGAAUUUCAAUUCUUCCCCAUUCUCUCCAAUAUUUAGUAUGGUCAGACCUUAUAAUUUUAUCCAUUUUAAUAGGAGUAUAUUAUGGUUUGAAUGUGUCCCCUCCAAAAUUCAGGUGUUGACAUUUAAUGGCCAAUGUGAUAGUAUCAAGAGAUAGGACCUUUAAGAGGUGGUUAGGUCCUGAGGACUCCUCACUCAUGAAUGGGAUUAAGAGAUUUCGUGCAGCUUUUGACUCCCUUGCCCUUUCACCUUUCACCAUGUGAGGACACAGUGUUCCUCCCCUCCAGAGGACGCCACAACUGGGCGCCAUCUGGGAAGCAGAGGGCAGUCCUCAAUAGACAAAGGAACCUGCCAGCAUCUUGAUCUGGGACCUUGCAGCCUCCAGAAACUAUGAGAAAUACAUUUUUGUUCUUUGAUAAAUUACCCAGUCUUCUGUAUUUUGUUAUGGCAGCACAAAAAGAACUGUGACACUGUGUACAUGUACUUAAUCGUGGUUUUACAGCAGUCUCCCUUUCUCUGCUGUUUCACUUUUUUGUUGUUUGUUUGUUUUGAGAUGGAGUCUCGUUCUUGUCGCCCAGUCUGGAGUGCAAUGGCGUGAUCUCGGCUCACCGCAACCUGUCCUCCUGGGUUCAAGCAAUUCUUCUGCCUCAGCCUCCGAAGUAGCUAGGCUUACAGACACGUGCCACCACACCCUGCCAAUUUUUGUAUUUUUAGUAGACAGGCUGUUAGGCAGGCUGGUCUUGAACUCCUAACCUCAGGUGAUCCGCCCACCUUGGCCUCCCAAAGUGCUGGGAUUACAGGCAUGAGCCACCGCACCCAGCAUGCUGAUUCACUUUCUGCAGUUUCAGUUACCCACAGUCAACCAUGGGCCAGAACAUAGUUACACUGCCACAAGUUGUGGAUGGGAGGGCUGGAUUUCCUGAACCCUUCCCAGCAUUGCUCGAGUUUCUUGGUUCCUCCGCUAGAGAAGAGGAGCCCCAGAGCUCUGUAGGCUCCAGAAAAGUGCCCAAAUCAUAAGCAGACAUCUCAUUGGAUUUACUGAGCACACCCAGGUAUCCACCACCCAAGGGAAGCAACGAAGGUGACCCCACCCAGCAUUUACCCUGUGUCCCUAUCUUGGACAUUGAUUCUGCUCCAGAGGUCACAAUCUCAUGCCGCCAAUUGCCAUAGAUUCGUUUUGCUUGGUCUUAAACUUUAUAUAAAUGAAAAUUCAACUUUAUGCUGUCUACAAGAGGCAUACUAACUCAUAAAAAUUAAAAGACUGACCCAGAAAACACAGCAAAAAGAAAAAUAUCACGAAAUGAUUGUCAGUCCAAUUAAAAUUCAAGACUGGAAGAAUUCAUGGGUCAGAGAAGCUGGUACAAGUGGAUCUGCUCGGCACCUAUAACCUAAUUACCUCUCAGGCUCACACAAGUCUCUGGCCGCUAAGCGAAUGAUCUCCCAAAGGGAUUAUUCUCAAGCAGCACAGAAACUGUCCCUAUGCCUCAGGUGGCCCCAGAACUCUUUCGUACUAGAGACUUAUCUGUUAAUAAAGUUAACAAAGGAAAGUGGCCUUCCAAGAAUGUUUGUUUGGGCCACUACCUGGAAGAAAUAACACUUGACCAUGAGAGACUUGGCUGAGCAGUGCUGGGUCAGCUUAACCAAAGAAGACCAGCCAUCACCCACGGCAAGAGCAGCUCUGACUUGGACCCACUGUUCCCCCAGCCUGUUAGCAGCCUGUGAACAAUCUUUAAGUGACCCCUGGCCCUGUCACAUCUCCAUUCAACAGGGUUCUUGGGGAGGAUGUGUGGACCGAGAACAGUGCCCACCCACACCACCUGUAAGUGUGGCCACGGCAGCCAGCCAGCAUGGAUGCUAAGUAACAAGUGGUAUUGGGGCACAGAUGUGGCGGGAGCGCUUUGGGGCAAAGAAAGAGGUGCUGUGAGUGAGGACAGAAAGGAAGGGGAAAAAAAAGCCUCAUGGGUUAGAGCGCCUCUCACCUUUGGCUCUUCUUCAGAAGACUGGUAAAAGAAAACAAGAAGAGAAAUUGGUUUCCCUGACUUCUCUAAAGCAAGCGUUCUUCAGAAAAGAGAAUCGAUCAGCCUGGUUAAAGUGGAUAAACUAUGUGAUGUCCAUCCAGAGAGGUGUCUAUUAAUGGCUGUAAAAUGGAAAGAUGAAUCAAUGGGACCGAUUAAUAUUUAUGAAGAGUUGAACUAGGCAGAGUGAAAAAGCCUUGUAUAUUGGAUAAGAAAGGAAAAGCAUUGCACACCAUAGGAUGCGUUUGUUUGGCUAAGGUUUCUGUUUUGAUCACUGGGUAAUUGUAUAGAGCAGGGGCGUAUGGUAGAGAAAGAAAAUCUAUAUCUAGAAGUUAUUGACUUUAUGUACAAAAGCACUGGUUGGUGCCUAUUUUUGAGGACCACUCCAUCUUAAAAAUAACUUUGGUUUUGUACGGCCUAGUUGUGGUGGAAAAGGAGCUCCAAAGAGUAAGCAAGUUUCCUACAAAAAGAAUCCAAGCUGUUGAAACUACAAUUAAGAAAUGCAAAGAGUUACUAAUUUUACUACUUAGAGGAAAGGAAAUUCACAAGCAGGAAAGAAACUGUGGAUCAGGGCAAGUUGUAACUCUAGAGGUUCAGAGAUAGGAGCUCUAAUUACACCAGGGCAAGGGAGUACUGUUUGGGGAAAUUUCUGAAACAUGAAAUAGGAAAGCUGAGGGUCAAAAUGAUAUUGUGAUGUGAAUAAAUAGAGAAGACAUGUUUGCAUGGAGCUCAGCUGGGUAAUCAUGGAAAGAAGGAGGGGCGAAGGAGGAAACUGAAAAUCGAAAUAAAGAACAGAAGCACAGACCAUGAAAUAUGCCAAAUAUAGUGUGCAAAUACUCAGAAGGCAUGGAAAGAUAAGUUAGAAGCCAAAACUCAGUUAUCACUAUCGUGUGAAGGAACAAUAAAACUCUUAGCAAAAACAAAUGACUUAGCAUGAGACCAAUACUGCUUUCCUUAGGUAGCUUGGUCCAGAGGGAAAAGGCUGAUAUCACUCCCUAUCAAGGGUUUUUAGACGGUUUAAGUGAGCUCUGCAAGUGGGAGACACGGUGAUGAUUAUUGACAGUUGCUAUCUUUCAAGGGGGAGAAGCAAACUGAUGUUACACAUUAGAAUUAGUUAGCACCACCGAACACAGGUUACAAAAAUACUGGGAGGAAUUCUCUCUCCUGAGCACAUUACGCAAUAUUUGCAAAUGUGUGCAGGUAAGUGUUGACUCUCUCAUCAUGCUGGACCUGGAAAUGGUUCUCAGCAAAUCAUGGCAUGAUUUCUUUUUCAAAGUUGGGUACACGAAUAUUAUCGUAACCAGCUAAGAGCAGGGAGACGUGGCAUGGGAGACUAACAGAUAGUGCAGCUUUUAAGAGAAGACGUAGAAAUCAAUCUAGUAACAAAUAUUUAUUAAGCAUUGGAGUGUGCUAGGCACCAAGAGAAAAGAAACCUCCACAGCUGAUAAAGCCUUUCAAAAUAAUGUCCUCAGUUAAUUUGCACAUUUCCAUGAGGUAGGUGUUGUUAGCCAUUUCCGUUAAUGAGAAAAAAAAAAAUGAGAUUCAGAAAGGUUAAUUAAAUUGGAGAUCUCCUGAUUUUUUAGUUUUAUAUCCUUCCCGUGUCCUUUCCAGGCUUAUAUUCUGGUCCUAUCACUUCUCAGCUGAGUUACUUCAACAAGUUAUUUAUUCUCUGUGUUCCCAGCUGUCAAAAUGAAAAUGCCAGUACCCACCUGGUAAGGAGUGAGAGAACAUUUAUAAAAAUGCUCGGCUGGGUACCUGACACAUAGGAGGUCCUCAGUAAAUUUGUUUUCUCCCUUUCUUCCUGAAGUACGGUGGCAGAGGGAUUCAGCCAGCCAGCCUGGGUAGCACAAGCCAUGAUGCCCUGCUGAAUCUGUGUUCUAGGGUCGGACAGGGGGAGUCCUUUUGCCUAGAGGGAUGGUGUGCGAGGCCUAAGAGGACUUGGGCAGAGUCUUGAAGGACGAGCAGGAUUUGCUGUGGUGGAGAGGUGGUCACGGGUUGAGCAGAUAGGAGAACCAAGGAAUCAAGGCAGGGAAAGAGAGGGGAUGCAUGUGAAGGGCCAGGAGCUGUUAACUAGUUUGCUAAGCAGCAGGCGAGGAUUUAGAAGGAGUUGGAGAAGUGUGGAGGGAGCUGAGGCUCUUGUGAGGGGAACUUUUAUGCUAAGGGUUCCAACUUGGCCCUGUGAAUGAAGGUGAGCUGGGGAAGGUUUGUGAACUUGGAGUCUCACCUGUAAAAGAUUAAUCUGGUGCCAGUGUACAGAAUGGACCGUCAAGGAAGAGGUGGAAAAACAAGGAAAAUUUGUAUUUUAUAGACACACACACACAUAGACACAGAGCCCUUUUUAUUAGAAAACAUAUAAUCAACUUAACCCCAUUUUAAAUGGCUUGGACAUUAAUUUUACUCUUGUAAUUGAUUAUAGAGGUUUAAAACUGUUGUGUUUUUGCCUUUGUGACAUAUUAUGGCUGUAUCUAAAAUUUAUUUGAUGUUAAAUCAAGAACAAAACUCUUCAAUUCUAUUGUUGUUCCUAAGGUAAAAUAUAAUCUACUUUGAGUCAAUUCACUGUGUCAUAAACUUUCCAGGAAUGGGAAACUUGAUAAAAAGCAGAGACUCACUGCAUAUGACAAUAAUUAAAUCUAUAUUCAACAAGUAUAAAAGAAUGGUUGUAGGGGUGAGCAAUUUGGAAGAAAAAAAGCCACUUGACUUAAAUAUGACAGAAAAUCAUACUGAGGUCUGACACCCCAUGACCUUUUUUGAGAUUUGAGGUUAUGCCAUGUAUUUGAGAAUAAAUAAAAUCCAUUUAAGUGUCUAUAUUAUUAAAUGAAUCGUAUUUUCAGAAAGCAUUAGAUAAAGUCUGUUUUAGACCUUGGAAUCCAUUUUUCUCAUGAACACAAUAUCGUAAAUAGAUGAGAAUUGAGUUCCCAGUCUAUAAAACCCUUAUUAAAUCAUCAUGUAGCUGAACUAUUCUAUAUUGGCAAUCAAUAGAGUUGAGUAAUCUUUUCAUAGUCACAGUGAUAAAAAAACAAAAAAUAUUGAAGAAGUAAUUUUUCAAAAAAUAGAGGUAUAGCACGUUUAAUUAUGGAUUAAGAGGCCGAUAAAUAAUUUUGUGGUGAUUCUGAAGAGACUAUCUGGGCACUUUCAAAAGCUUUAGAGUUGAUAAACUGUUCUUAUUAUGUCUAAUUUAAUAUUCAAAAUUUAUGACCAUUCAUUCAUUCAUCAAACAUAACUUAGAUAUCUACAAUAGGUAUUGUGCUAGCCGCUGGAGAUUUCAAUGUAAUGAAACAGUUCCUAACUUAAAGAAAAGCAGCACUUGAAAUUUUACUAAUGCAUUCAGUCAUUUACUUAACAGAUACUGAAUGUUUGCUACCGUGAGUCUAUUAUUCCUAUGCGUAUCAACUCCCAGGAAGCAUGUGUAGCUCGCUGAUGGAAUACAGAGAAAUAUUCCUGAGAGAAUACCAAAAAUAGUCCGUUUGUGCUACUAAAACAAAAUGGCUGAGACCGAGUAGCUAGCUUAUAAAGAACAGAAAGCUAUUUUCUCACAGUUCUGGAGGCUGGGAAGUCCAAGAUAAAAGCACCAACGGGUUUGGUUGUCUGGCAAAGGCUUCUCUCUGUUUCCAAGAUGGUGCCUUGUUGCUGUGUCCUCCAGAGGGAAGGAAUGCUGUGUCUUCACAUGGCAGAAGGCUGAAGGGCAAGUGAGCUAACACUGUGUGAAGCUUAUUUUAUAAGGACCUUAAUCCCAUUCAAGAGGGAG